ACACAGGUGCUGCAUGGCUGUCGUCAGCUCGUGUCGUGAGAUGUUGGGUUAAGUCCCGCAACGAGCGCAACCCUCGCCCUUAGUUGCCAUCAUUCAGUUGGGCACUCUAGGGGGACUGCCGGUGAUAAGCCGAGAGGAAGGUGGGGAUGACGUCAAGUCCUCAUGGCCCUUACGGGCUGGGCUACACACGUGCUACAAUGGCGGUGACAAAGGGCAGCUAGAUCGCGAGAUCAUGCUAAUCCCUAAAAGCCGUCUCAGUUCGGAUUGCACUCUGCAACUCGGGUGCAUGAAGUUGGAAUCGCUAGUAAUCGCGUAACAGCAUGACGCGGUGAAUACGUUCCCGGGCCUUGUACACACCGCCCGUCACACCAU
Molecule: ribosomal RNA, 372 nt
Filed under: uncultured Hyphomicrobiales bacterium
Lineage: Bacteria; Pseudomonadati; Pseudomonadota; Alphaproteobacteria; Hyphomicrobiales
Description: bacterial SSU rRNA
Rfam family: Bacterial small subunit ribosomal RNA
Source: RNAcentral